This 253-nucleotide ribosomal RNA is filed under the name uncultured bacterium. RNAcentral describes it as "partial 16S ribosomal RNA". It matches the Rfam family "Bacterial small subunit ribosomal RNA", at positions 524 to 776 of the family's 1533-position model. The record is from RNAcentral.
UACGUAGGGUGCAAGCGUUGCCCGGAUUCAUUGGGCGUAAAGCGCGCGCAGGCGGCCCACCAAGUCCCGCGUGAAAUCGCCCGGCUCAACCGGGCGGGGUCGCGGGAGACUGGGGGGCUCGAGCGAGGGAGGGGGCAGUGGAAUUCCCGGUGUAGUGGUGGAAUGCGUAGAUAUCGGGAGGAACACCAGUGGCGAAGGCGGCUGCCUGGACCUCUGCUGACGCUGAGGCGCGAAAGCGUGGGGAGCGAUCCGG